Molecule: long non-coding RNA, 507 nt
Filed under: Fukomys damarensis (Damara mole-rat)
Lineage: Eukaryota; Metazoa; Chordata; Mammalia; Rodentia; Bathyergidae
Description: lncRNA (ENSFDAG00000027039.1)
Source: RNAcentral
AUGACUUGGACACAGGACAACAAAGGGUCCCCGCUCCCAUCUCAAAUGCAAAGUGUGGCCUCUUUUCAUCCUCCCUGGUCUAGCCACUCUGCUUUUGUUCUCUCAAUUAAGAUGAAAUGUUCUGUGACUCCGACUGCCAGGAGGAAGGACACAAGCCUGCCUGGGGUGGUGGACGGACACCCCUUCCUGACGUGGAAUAGGGCAAGGGCCUGGGCGAGUGUGGCAGGGACGCCAAGCCCUGUUCUGCUUCUCCCCAAGACUUCUUAGACCUCCCGCAGAGAUGUGUGGAUCUGUCACCUCGGAAGGCGGCUGUGUGGCGUUUCUCAGCGAGGAUCCUCCAUGUGGCUCGCAGCGGUAACCCACCACCUCUGGGAAUAUGUUCCUCCCCAGUGAUCUCUGAGUCGACAGCCCAUACGGAACCCUGCACGUACUGUUUUUUUUUUUCUUGUACAUAUCUAUGAUAAAGUUGAAUUUAUAAAUUAGGCACGGUAAGGGAUGAACACCACA